Molecule: ribosomal RNA, 533 nt
Filed under: uncultured bacterium
Lineage: Bacteria
Description: bacterial SSU rRNA
Rfam family: Bacterial small subunit ribosomal RNA
Source: RNAcentral
AAUAGAUACCCUGGUAGUCCACACCGUAAACGUUGGGCGCUAGGUGUGGGGCCUAUUCCAUGGGUUCCGUGCCGCAGCUAACGCAUUAAGCGCCCCGCCUGGGGAGUACGGCCGCAAGGCUAAAACUCAAAGGAAUUGACGGGGGCCCGCACAAGCGGCGGAGCAUGCGGAUUAAUUCGAUGCAACGCGAAGAACCUUACCUGGGUUUGACAUACGCCGGAAAGCGCCAGAGAUGGUGCCCCUUUUGUCGGUGUACAGGUGGUGCAUGGCUGUCGCCAGCUCGUGUCGUGAGAUGUUGGGUUAAGUCCCGCAACGAGCGCAACCCUCGUCCUAUGUUGCCAGCACGUGAUGGUGGGGACUCAUAGGAGACUGCCGGGGUCAACUCGGAGGAAGGUGGGGAUGACGUCAAGUCAUCAUGCCCCUUAUGUCCAGGGCUUCACGCAUGCUACAAUGGCCGGUACAAAGGGCUGCGAUGCUGCAAGGCGGAGCGAAUCCCAAAAAGCCGGUCUCAGUUCGGAUUGGGGUCUGCAACG